CCUGCGUCCCAUCAGCUAGUUGGUAGGGUAAUGGCCUACCAAGGCAAAGACGGGUAGGGGGCGUGAGAGCGUGGCCCCCCACACUGGUACUGAAACACGGACCAGAUACCUACGGGUAGCAGCAGCAAGGAAUAUUGCGCAAUGGGCGAAAGCCUGACGCAGCAACGCCGCGUGGAGGAUGAAGGCCUUCGGGUUGUAAACUCCUUUUCUGGGGGAAGAGAAAGGACGGUACCCCAGGAAUAAGGCCCGGCUAACUACGUGCCAGCAGCCGCGGUAAAACGUAGGGGUCAAGCGUUAUCCGGAUUUACUGGGCGUAAAGCGCAUGUAGGCGGUUGCUUAAGUCGGACGUGAAAGCUCCUGGCUCAACUAGGAGAGGCCGUUCGAAACUAGGUAACUCGAGGAUGGUAGAGGAGAGUGGAAUUCCCGGUGUAGUGGUGAAAUGCGUAGAUAUC
This 452-nucleotide ribosomal RNA is filed under the name uncultured Chloroflexota bacterium. RNAcentral's name for it is "bacterial SSU rRNA". It matches the Rfam family "Bacterial small subunit ribosomal RNA", at positions 230 to 698 of the family's 1533-position model. The record is from RNAcentral. Lineage: Bacteria; Bacillati; Chloroflexota.